UUGUGAAAUGAUGGCAAUUAUCUUUUGGAUCUGACUUGAAAUGAGAGAAUACUCAUUGCCAUUGACUU
This is a small nucleolar RNA of Sorex araneus (European shrew), 68 nucleotides long. RefSeq annotates it as small nucleolar RNA SNORD2. The transcript has a single exon. NCBI's taxonomy places the organism in Eukaryota, Metazoa, Chordata, Mammalia, Eulipotyphla, Soricidae. The record is from RefSeq and is a predicted model, not a curated record.